UCGAAACCUGCAUAGCAGAACAACCAGCGAACAUGUUGUUUUCAUACAUGGGGGAGGCGUGGUGGCUUGCCAACUCCCUUCCCUAAGUGUCAUGGGGCUUUCCUUCGUGAUUGCUGUGUGGCACAACAACCAAACCCCGGCGCGUUAAGCGUCAAGGAAUAUGAUCAUGAGUUUGCCCGUCCAUGAUCGGGUUUCCGGUUUAUGGGUGUGGCAUCAAUGUUAAGUCAUAAAAUGA
Molecule: unclassified non-coding RNA, 235 nt
Filed under: Gomphrena portulacoides
Lineage: Eukaryota; Viridiplantae; Streptophyta; Magnoliopsida; Caryophyllales; Amaranthaceae
Description: Philoxerus portulacoides ITS1
Source: RNAcentral